CCCUGGUUAGCCAGUUGGUAGAGCUAGCGCUCCACCUGUAAUGGAGAGGUCCCGGGUUUGAUACCCGCACCAGGCG
Molecule: transfer RNA, 76 nt
Filed under: Ixodes scapularis (black-legged tick)
Lineage: Eukaryota; Metazoa; Arthropoda; Arachnida; Ixodida; Ixodidae
Description: tRNA-Thr
Source: RNAcentral